This 4517-nucleotide long non-coding RNA is filed under the name Sus scrofa (pig). RNAcentral describes it as "lncRNA (ENSSSCG00000052446.1)". The record is from RNAcentral. Lineage: Eukaryota; Metazoa; Chordata; Mammalia; Artiodactyla; Suidae.
CCUGUAAUCUCUGCUGUGGUAUUUGAGAAUAUUACUAUGCUGCAUGUGGACCUGCCUCAAGUACACAGUUAAAAAAGAAAAACAACACAGAACAUCCAAUAAAUGUAAUCAUUUCAGAGUGGAGGGAUGCAGUUCUGAAUCUUGCUUUCUUUUACUUCCAAACAUGUGCCUGUAAGAAUUGCUCCACCAGAGGCACUGAAAAUAUAAAUUGUGAGGAAAACUAGGUUUUAUUGAAUGCAAUCUCUUUUGGUGGAUAUGGGUCAAACCAAUCCUCUUAACCUCAUUUUAUCAGAUUGAAAAGGCUUUCCUGCUCCUUAUUGUAUAUUUCAGCUGUGAUGGUGUAUGUGGAUAAAAUACACAGUCUGAGAUUACCUUCAAAGAAUUUCAGGAGCUCGUAGCAUAUUGGCCAGGGCAGUAAUGAUAUAAAAUCCCUUGACUGCUGAAUGGUUAGCAGUGCUCAUUUUGUGCUCCUUUUAAUGUGUCCUUUUUCUUUUGGGCCAGCUGCAGAGGAGUGAUUUGGCAUCUGGCUUAUUAGUUGCAGGAUUUAGGUUAUAGGUUUAAGUUGUUUAUUGGCAACAUCUGGAUUUCAGUAGCCAGCAUCUUCACAUCUUUCGACAGAGAGAUUGUUCCCCAAAGGUGCUCAGUAAUGGUGAUGGUUAUUCUUAUUUCUUUCUUCUUUCUCUCCAUAUCUUCCUUGCAGGCUGGGCCAAUCUAUGUGGAUGGGUAAAAAAUAAACGGAGAACUUUGGGAGCAAUAAAAAGCAAGAGAAUUUUCAGUGCAUUAGGCAAACAGCACACUAGGGUGUGCAUAUAGUUGCAAAUGAGCUUUGGGUUUGAGGUCUCAAGCCAAGCGUGGUUGCAUGGGGUCCUGGUACAUGCCCCUCAGAAUUGCAUUCCCCAUGGUCCUUUCUGGUCUGAGAGCACAAGAAGUAUUCCAGGGCUUUGAAUUGAGAUAUUUAUAUUCAUUCCUCCUGCCCUCUAUGUCUUGGUUUCUGAAGCUUAAUAUUUUAUUGACAAUCUGGUCCUUUGGAUCCUUCCAGAUGAGGUUGGGAACAGUGAUUUUAGAUGAGUUCUACCCAGAGAGAAGUGAGUUCCUCGGGGCAGACUUGGUGUCUUCAGGUGAGCAGUGUGUAUCUAGAUACAUGUCAAUAACAUAGGAGGAGGAGUUAACACUAGGAUAGGAAGAAUGGUGGGCAGAUAUGUUGGAAUUUAGGGAGGAAGGUGGAAUUUAUAUCCUUAUAUAAUGAAACAAGUAGGUGGAGAUUAUCAUCUUGGCCUAUUGUUCCUGCUACAGAUAGGCCCACUGCCAUUUGAGCUGAUCUGGACCAGAGCACAAUUCCAAACCCACAUCUUGAGGCUGUACUGUUCCUUCCUUCAUUCACUUCCUUAUUCAUACAUUCAUUUAUCCAUCUCAUCCAUUUCAUUUAUCCAUCUACUUAUUCAAGAAAUAGUCAUUUAGCACUUAUGUGUAAGAGCUUGAGCCGGACCCUUUUUAUAUAGAGAAAAGAGCCAGUUUCCCCUUCAUACUGUAGUAGGUGAGACAUGGAUCAGUGCUUAUAGUAUAGAGGGGGAUUGUGCUCCAGGUAAGCACAUUUCUGCACAAGAGUAAAUAAGAUGUACAUAUAUAUAUACAGCAGAAUAUUACUCAGCCAUAAAAAGAAUGAAAUAAUGCCAUUUGUGGCAACAUGGAUGAAUUAAUUAGAGAUUAUCAUACUAAGUGAAGUUAGUGAAAGACAAACAUCAUAUGAGGUCACUUAUAUGUGGAAUCUAAAAAAGAAUACAAAUGAACUAAUUUACAGAACAGAAACAGACUCCAAGACUUUGAAAAAUUUAUGGUCACCAAAGGGAACAGGUGGGAUGGGAAGAAUGGCCUGGGGGUUUGGGAUUGGCAUAUGCACACUGAGGUUGUAUGGAAUGAUUGACCAAGGGGUACUUGCUGUAGAGCACAGAGAACUCUAUCCAGUAUUCUGUGAUGAUCUAUGUGGGAAAAGAAUCUGAAAGGAACUGGAUGUGCGUACAUGUAUAACUGAAUCCCUUUGUUGUACAGCAGAAAUGAUCACCACCUUGUAAAUGAACUAUACUUCAAUAAAACUUUUAAAAAUAGAAAAAAAAAAACAAAUACAUCCCACACAGGCCACACAGGGAUGAUGCCUUGCUGAGUCUUAGCAGAUGAGGAAGGGUUAGCGUGGUAAAGGAGGAGGAGAAAGGUCUUCUGGGCAGUGGGGCAGUUUUCCACCAUCUGGUUGAAGAUGCUUUUUUAGAACAUUCUUUCUUUAUCCUCAGACUGACUGGAAGAGACCUGAUAAUCUGGGGUCAAGUUUCCUGCAUGCUCACUGAACUCACCUAAGUUUGAGUCAUUUUUGCUCUGGUGAUUGUUUAACUCUCAGGAAAGUACAUGGAAGCCACUGCUCAGUUGAUUUCAGGGAAGACUGAGAUGUGUGUGCUUUUCUGGAGGUUUUGCUUUUCUUUUUAAGGAACUCAUAGCAGCUUCAUAAUGAAAUGGUUCUGAUUAAAAUCAUCCCUACUAACUGAUAAAAGUGUGAAUAGUCUUUGGGAUUUCAUGCUAUGAUUUAUAUUCAGUGGUGAGACCUGCGGUCAGAAGAUGACUGUUUACUAAGUUGGCUGGAAGGGAACUCUUAAAUAAAUGUUUGAGAAAAUGAGUCAAAUCCACAGGCCUGGCACUAUUCUGUGAAAUGAAGGCCUAGCUUUGAUCCUUUCAGACUGGACUGACAGUGAGUCACAGCAGUGUCUUAUCAUUUAUCCUGCUCCCAAUACACCAUUCCUCCUUUGCUCAGCUGCAAGGCUGUGUUUUCAUUUCUGGCUUUCUCAAGAUGACCGAGAGAGCUGAAGGUAUUACUUGCAGACAACAGAUGCUCUUUCUGACUGUCAGAGAAAUUGCCAAAGGUAAAUGGCCCUUUUCUAAUAUCAGAAGAAAGUACCUGGGCAUUUUUUCCUUCUCUUUCCUGUCAGGUAAAAAAAAAAAAAAUGAUGGCCUGAGGUUGAACCACGGCAACUCCAUCAGGUCUAGGAUCUCAGUGAUGAGGGAAUAGGUUCCUCCUACACCUGAGAUGUGGGUUUCACAAGGUUUGGUAGUAAACACUGAGUGACAAGAGGUGGCAGUUGGGUGACAUGUGCCCUAAGUGAUGCCUGCUCUGAAAAUUCAGAGGUCCUGAUUUUUAAAUAGAGUUAUCUGGUUUAUGACAGGUCUUGAAGAAACUGUCCAGAUCAGAGAAAGCUUUUAAAUGGGUCAGAGGUAGCAGAUGAUAUGCAUGGUGGUGGCUGGAGAAGGCAGUUGAAUCAGCAGAGGAGGAAAUGUUGAGCUUAUGUGGAGAUUGAAUCCAUGACCUUGAUCCCAUUCCUACCAAACUCAGGCACCUGAAGGUCUCAAGGGACUGCAGGUGGGAAAGGUAAAGCAGGGAUAUUAACAUGAAAGUGUGCUCAUGGGCAUCAGAUGGAUCUGGAUUUCAGAUCUGGGUCUCCCACUCAUGAGCUGUGUGGUUUUAGCUGUUCCCUAACCUCUCUGCCCAUUUCCUCUUACAUAAAAUGGAGAGAAUUAAUGUCAGAGCGAAUAGUAAACACUGAGAUGAAAAGAAGGAUUGUCCAAAAAUGACUAGUAAAGUUCUUGGCACUCAAUAAAGGAUAUCUAAAAAUAACAGAAAAAAUUAGCCAGAAAGUGAACAACAUGAAUAACAUAGGGCAGAAGCACGUGUAACUCCUAGGACAAUGGGACACUUUUGUACAGCAAUUGACUACGCAAGUGACCUCUCCACUUCAGAGUCAAUAAUAACAGCAAUAAAAACAGCAAUAACAAUGACAGUUUGGAUCUUAGUAGGCUUCUGAUGUUAUGAAAUGGUGUGACUGACUGCUUGAAUGCUACCUACCACAUCUCUUUUUCCCCACUGGGGCCCUGAACUUGUUGUCUCAUCAGCACCACCUUCCUUCCAAGUCUUGGAAUUUGAAACGUUCUUAUUAGCAGCACGAGGCAAGUGGAUACAAAGUGGAGAGCUUGCGUCUAUAUUCAUCAAAGAUAUGGGCUGAUAGUUUUCUUUUUUGGUGGUAUCUUUGUCUGGUUUUAGAGUUAGGGUGAUGGUGGCAUCAUAGAAUGUCUUUGGAAGUGCUCCUUCUUCUUCAACCUUUUGAAAAAGUUUAAGGAGGAUGGGUACCAGAUCCUCUUUAUAUGUUUGGUAGAAUUCAACUGUGAAAAAGACAAAUACCAUAUGAUAUCACUUAUAACUGGAAUCUAAUAUCCAGCACAAAUGAACAUCUCCACAGAAAAGAAAAUCAUGGACUUGGAAAAUAGACUUGUGGCUGCCUGAUGGGAGAGGGAGGGAGUGGGAGGGAUCCAGAGCUUGGGCUUAUCAGACACAAUUUAGAACAGAUUUACAAGGAGAUCCUGCUGAGUAGCAUUGAGAACUAUGUCUAGAUACUCAUACUGCAACAGAACAAAGGGUGGGGGAAAAAUAAUGUAAUUGUAAUGUAUACAUGUAAGGAUAACUUGAUCCCCUUGCUGUACAGUGG